GCCAGAGUAGCUCAGCUGGAAGAGCGUCCGGCUGUUAACCGGACGGUCGGAGGUUCGAGUCCUCCCUCUGGCG
Molecule: transfer RNA, 73 nt
Filed under: Sulfuracidifex tepidarius
Lineage: Archaea; Thermoproteati; Thermoproteota; Thermoprotei; Sulfolobales; Sulfolobaceae
Description: tRNA-Asn
Rfam family: tRNA
About the family: Transfer RNA (tRNA) molecules are approximately 80 nucleotides in length. Their secondary structure includes four short double-helical elements and three loops (D, anti-codon, and T loops). Further hydrogen bonds mediate the characteristic L-shaped molecular structure. tRNAs have two regions of fundamental functional importance: the anti-codon, which is responsible for specific mRNA codon recognition, and the 3' end, to which the tRNAs corresponding amino acid is attached (by aminoacyl-tRNA synthetases). tRNAs cope with the degeneracy of the genetic code in two manners: having more than one tRNA (with a specific anti-codon) for a particular amino acid; and 'wobble' base-pairing, i.e. permitting non-standard base-pairing at the 3rd anti-codon position.
Source: RNAcentral